UACGAGGGGGGCUAGCGUUGUUCGGAUUUACUGGGCGUAAAGCGCACGUAGGCGGUUCGAUCAGUCAGGGGUGAAAUCCCAGAGCUCAACUCUGGAACUGCCUUUGAUACUGUCGAUCUGGAGUAUGGAAGAGGUGAGUGGAAUUCCGAGUGUAGAGGUGAAAUUCGUAGAUAUUCGGAGGAACACCAGUGGCGAAGGCGGCUCACUGGUCCAUUACUGACGCUGAGGUGCGAAAGCGUGGGGAGCAAACAGG
Molecule: ribosomal RNA, 253 nt
Filed under: uncultured bacterium
Lineage: Bacteria
Description: partial 16S ribosomal RNA
Rfam family: Bacterial small subunit ribosomal RNA
Source: RNAcentral